ACUGGCUUCGACGGGGAUGAAGAUGCCAGGGUUGCAUGCUGAGGUCCCGUUGGCUCAUAAAACAAACGGGAAAAUUUAACUGCCAACGAAGAAUUGGCACUCGCUGCCUAAUUAAGGCAACGGCGCUCUUCCUGGGAUUGUCUGUGUCGCAGGAAAGGGUGUAAUAAAAGCAGGCUGGCCUGCCUCUGCCUCCUUGCAGGAGGCGGGCGAGAUAAAAGCAGGGUAGCAACAUCUUAAGCCUUCCAGUGGGCAUGAGGUGUUGCGAAUCUUUAAUACACUGGAUAAGCAUGUAGGAACCUUGAUGCUGAACGUUUCCGGACGCGGGUUCGAUCA
Non-coding RNA from Nitrospirae bacterium RIFCSPLOW2_12_42_9, 333 nucleotides. Lineage: Bacteria; Pseudomonadati; Nitrospirota. The record is from Rfam.